UGAGUAACGCGUAGGAACCUGUCGCACAGUGGGGGAUAACGCUGGGAAACCGGCGCUAAUACCGCAUGUGGUGAGUGAUCAAGAAAGCGAGCAAUCGCGCUGUGUGAGGGGCCUGCGUCCGAUUAGCUAGUUGGUGGGGUAAAGGCUUACCAAGGCGACGAUCGGUAGCUGGUCUGAGAGGAUGGUCAGCCACACUGGGACUGAGACACGGCCCAG
Molecule: ribosomal RNA, 216 nt
Filed under: uncultured bacterium
Lineage: Bacteria
Description: partial 16S ribosomal RNA
Rfam family: Bacterial small subunit ribosomal RNA
Source: RNAcentral